AGAGUUUGAUCAUGGCUCAGGACGAACGCUGGCGGCGUGCCUAAUACAUGCAAGUAGAACGCUGAAGUCUGGUGCUUGCACUAGACGGAUGAGUUGCGAACGGGUGAGUAACGCGUAGGUAACCUGCCUCAUAGCGGGGGAUAACUAUUGGAAACGAUAGCUAAUACCGCAUAAUAGUAUUUACCGCAUGGUAGAUGCUUGAAAGGAGCAAUUGCUUCACUAUGAGAUGGACCUGCGUUGUAUUAGCUAGUUGGUGAGGUAACGGCUCACCAAGGCAUCGAUACAUAGCCGACCUGAGAGGGUGAUCGGCCACACUGGGACUGAGACACGGCCCAGACUCCUACGGGAGGCAGCAGUAGGGAAUCUUCGGCAAUGGGGGCAACCCUGACCGAGCAACGCCGCGUGAGUGAAGAAGGUUUUCGGAUCGUAAAGCUCUGUUGUAAGAGAAGAACUGUGAGAAGAGUGGAAAGUUUCUCACUUGACGGUAUCUUACCAGAAAGGGACGGCUAACUACGUGCCAGCAGCCGCGGUAAUACGUAGGUCCCGAGCGUUGUCCGGAUUUAUUGGGCGUAAAGCGAGCGCAGGCGGUUUGAUAAGUCUGAAGUAAAAGGCUGUGGCUUAACCAUAGUACGCUUUGGAAACUGUCAAACUUGAGUGCGGAAGGGGAGAGUGGAAUUCCAUGUGUAGCGGUGAAAUGCGUAGAUAUAUGGAGGAACACCGGUGGCGAAAGCGGCUCUCUGGUCUGUAACUGACGCUGAGGCUCGAAAGCGUGGGGAGCGAACAGGAAUUAGAUACCCUGGUAGUCCACGCCGUAAACGAUGAGUGCUAGGUGUUGGGUCCUUUCCGGACUCAGUGCCGCAGCU
RNAcentral lists this ribosomal RNA (863 nucleotides) under uncultured bacterium. RNAcentral's name for it is "bacterial SSU rRNA". It matches the Rfam family "Bacterial small subunit ribosomal RNA", at positions 8 to 853 of the family's 1533-position model. The record is from RNAcentral.